RNAcentral lists this ribosomal RNA (411 nucleotides) under uncultured bacterium. RNAcentral describes it as "bacterial SSU rRNA". It matches the Rfam family "Bacterial small subunit ribosomal RNA", at positions 370 to 772 of the family's 1533-position model. The record is from RNAcentral.
AAUGGGGGAAACCCUGACGCAGCGACGCCGCGUGAGCGAAGAAGGCCUUAGGGUUGUAAAGCUCUGUUUUAGGGGACGAAUGUCACGAUCAGUAAUAUGGGUUGUGAAUGACGGUACCCUAAGAGGAAGCCCCGGCUAACUACGUGCCAGCAGCCGCGGUAAGACGUAGGGGGCGAGCGUUGUCCGGAAUUACUGGGCGUAAAGAGCACGUAGGCGGAGACUUAAGUCAGGUGUGAAAGACCGGGGCUCAACCCCGGGGUUGCACUUGAAACUGGGUCCCUUGAGGGCAGGAGAGGAAAGCAGAAUUCCUGGUGUAGCGGUGAAAUGCGUAGAAAUCAGGAGGAAUACCAGUGGCGAAGGCGGCUUUCUGGACUGACCCUGACGCUGAGGUGCGAAAGCGUGGGUAGCAAA